CCUCUGGAUCCAGAAGACUUAACCGAACAGAUUCUGGCUGGUUUAAGUGAUGAUUACAAACCGGAGAUCGACGCUAUUAACGGCCGUGACAAUCCAAUCUCCUUUGCUGAACUCCAUGAACGUCUCCUCAAUCGAGA
This is a non-coding RNA of Brassica rapa (field mustard), 137 nucleotides long. The record is from Rfam. Lineage: Eukaryota; Viridiplantae; Streptophyta; Magnoliopsida; Brassicales; Brassicaceae.